Molecule: ribosomal RNA, 252 nt
Filed under: uncultured Bacteroidales bacterium
Lineage: Bacteria; Pseudomonadati; Bacteroidota; Bacteroidia; Bacteroidales
Description: partial 16S ribosomal RNA
Rfam family: Bacterial small subunit ribosomal RNA
Source: RNAcentral
UACGUAGGGGGCAAGCGUUAUCCGGAUUUACUGGGUGUAAAGGGAGCGUAGGCGGCCUGUUAAGUCAGCGGUAAAAGCCCGGGGCUCAACCCCGGCGAGCCGUUGAAACUGACGGUCUUGAGUGGGCGAGAAGUAUGCGGAAUGCGUGGUGUAGCGGUGAAAUGCAUAGAUAUCACGCAGAACUCCGAUUGCGAAGGCAGCAUACCGGCGCCCAACUGACGCUCAUGCACGAAAGCGUGGGUAUCGAACAGG